Molecule: ribosomal RNA, 810 nt
Filed under: uncultured archaeon
Lineage: Archaea
Description: bacterial SSU rRNA
Rfam family: Archaeal small subunit ribosomal RNA
Source: RNAcentral
ACGGCUCAGUAACACGUGGCUAAUCUGCCCUUGGGACCGGAACACCCCCGGGAAACUGGGGCUAAUUCUCGAUAGGUGAAGAACUCUGGAAUGAGUCUUUGCCCAAAAGAUGCUAGAGUUAUGCUCUUUGGCAUCGCCCAAGGAUGAGGCCGCGACCGAUCAGGUUGUUGGUGAGGUAAUGGCUCACCAAGCCUUUUACCGGUGCGGGCCGUGAGAGCGGGAGCCCGGAGAUGGGCACUGAGACAAGGGCCCAGGCCCUACGGGGCGCAGCAGUCGCGAAAACUUUGCAAUACACGAAAGUGUGACAGGGCUAUCCCGAGUGCCAUCCGCUGAGGAAGGCUUUUACCCAGUCUAGAACGCUGGGGAAUAAGGAGAGGGCAAGUCUGGUGUCAGCCGCCGCGGUAAUACCAGCUCUCCGAGUGGUGUGGAUGUUUAUUGGGCCUAAAGCAUCCGUAGCUGGCUAAGUUAGUCCCUUGUUAAAUCCACCGAAUUAAUCGUUGGAUUGCGGGGGAUACUGCUUGGCUAGGGGACGAGAGAGGCAGACGGUAUUUCCGGGGUAGGGGUGAAAUCCUAUAAUCCCGGGAAGACCACCAGUGGCGAAGGCUGUCUGCUAGAACGCGCCCGACGGUGAGGGAUGAAAGCUGGGAGAGCGAACCGGAUUAGAUACCCGGGUAGUCCCAGCUGUAAACGAUGCAGGCUAGGUGUUUGGACGGCCACGUGCCGUUCUAGUGCCGCAGGGAAGCUGUUAAGCCUGCCGCCUGGGGAGUACGAUCGCAAGAUUGAAACUUAAAGGAAUUGGCGGGGGAGCAC